RNAcentral lists this ribosomal RNA (484 nucleotides) under uncultured bacterium. Its description in RNAcentral is "partial 16S ribosomal RNA". It matches the Rfam family "Bacterial small subunit ribosomal RNA", at positions 30 to 507 of the family's 1533-position model. The record is from RNAcentral.
AUUGAACGCUGGCGGCAGGCCUAACACAUGCAAGUCGAGCGGAUGAAGGGAGCUUGCUCCUGGAUUCAGCGGCGGACGGGUGAGUAAUGCCUAGGAAUCUGCCUGGUAGUGGGGGAUAACGUCCGGAAACGGGCGCUAAUACCGCAUACGUCCUGAGGGAGAAAGUGGGGGAUCUUCGGACCUCACGCUAUCAGAUGAGCCUAGGUCGGAUUAGCUAGUUGGUGGGGUAAAGGCCUACCCAGGCGCCGAUCCGUCACUGGUCUGAGAGGAUGAGCAGUCACCAUGGAACUGGGACAAGGGCCAGACUCCCUAGGGGAGCAGGAGGGGGGAAUAUUGGGCAAUGGGGGGAAGCCUUAUCCCAGCCAUCCGGGUGGGGGAAAGAGGGUCUUCGGUUUUAAAAGCAUUUUAUGGUGGAAGAAAGGCCAUAAGUUUAAACCCUGCUGUUUUUACCGUAACCAAAGAAAAAGCCCCCGCUAAAUUCGGG